RNAcentral lists this RNase P RNA (388 nucleotides) under Coriobacteriia bacterium. RNAcentral describes it as "RNase P RNA component class A". It matches the Rfam family "Bacterial RNase P class A". Rfam says of the family: Ribonuclease P (RNase P) is a ubiquitous endoribonuclease, found in archaea, bacteria and eukarya as well as chloroplasts and mitochondria. Its best characterised activity is the generation of mature 5'-ends of tRNAs by cleaving the 5'-leader elements of precursor-tRNAs. The record is from RNAcentral. Lineage: Bacteria; Bacillati; Actinomycetota; Coriobacteriia.
GGAGUGGGCCGGGCGGCCGCGCGGGCGCGUACCUGUACGCGCGCGUGAGGAAAGUCCGGGCUCCACAGGGCAGGGUGCAGGCUAACGGCCUGGCGCCGCGAGGCGACGGAAAGUGCCACAGAAAAGAAGACUCCCCCGAUACCGCCCGGCGCGCCCCUUCGGGCUUGCCGGUACAGGUCGGGAGAAAAGCUGAAACGGUGCGGUAAGAGCGCACCAGCGCCAUGGUGACAUGGCGGCUUGGCAAACCCCACCCGGAGCAAGGGCGAAUAGGAGCGGUCAAGACCGGCCCGGUCAUCGCUCGGGUACGCCCGCAUCAGGCCGUCGGUAACGGCGGUCGCAGAUAGAUGGUCGUCCACGACAGAACCCGGCUUACAGGCCCACUCCGAGC